AACGAACGCUGGCGGCAUGCCUAACACAUGCAAGUCGAACGAGACCUUCGGGUCUAGUGGCGCACGGGUGCGUAACGCGUGGGAACCUGCCCUUAGGUUCGGAAUAACUCCCCGAAAGGGGUGCUAAUACCGGAUAAUGUCUUCGGACCAAAGAUUUAUCGCCUUUGGAUGGGCCCGCGUUGGAUUAGCUAGUUGGUAGGGUAAAAGCCUACCAAGGCGACGAUCCAUAGCUGGUCUGAGAGGAUGAUCAGCCACACUGGGACUGAGACACGGCCCAGACUCCUACGGGAAGCAGCAGUGGGGAAUAUUGGACAAUGGGCGAAGGCCUGAUCCAGCAAUGCCGCGUGAGUGAUGAAGGCCUUAGGGUUGUAAAGCUCUUUUACCCGGGAUGAUAAUGACAGUACCGGGAGAAUAAGCUCCGGCUAACUCCGUG
Molecule: ribosomal RNA, 433 nt
Filed under: uncultured bacterium
Lineage: Bacteria
Description: partial 16S ribosomal RNA
Rfam family: Bacterial small subunit ribosomal RNA
Source: RNAcentral